This 253-nucleotide ribosomal RNA is filed under the name uncultured bacterium. Its description in RNAcentral is "partial 16S ribosomal RNA". It matches the Rfam family "Bacterial small subunit ribosomal RNA", at positions 524 to 776 of the family's 1533-position model. The record is from RNAcentral.
UACGUAGGUGACAAGCGUUGUCCGGAUUUACUGGGCGUAAAGAGUGUGUAGGCGGUGCUCUAAGUUCGGUGUGAAAUCUCCCGGCUUAACUGGGAGGGUGCGCCGGAAACUGGAGUGCUCGAGCGUGGGAGAGGAAAGCGGAAUUCCUGGUGUAGCGGUGAAAUGCGUAGAUAUCAGGAGGAACACCUGCGGUGUAGACGGCUUUCUGGACCAUUGCUGACGCUGAGACACGAAAGCGUGGGUAGCAAACAGG